UAUAUAUUGAAGUUUUUCAUGUAAUCACUAUCUUAUUACACAUAACUUGUCACUUUUUUCCUGAGUAUCACUAAAUCCAUUUUUCCUUGGAAUUUAUUUUGGUUUUUGAUAAUCUCAAUAUAAAAUGAUGCAAACAGCGACAUGCUUAAUUCAGCAGACUUUAAUCAUUACUAAAUCCAUUUAGCCUAUGUCAACAUUUCUUCAUGGCAAAGGCAGCAAGUCCUUCAUCCACAACAGAUCUUGAUACUCCAUUAUCGGCAUGGAUACAGGUAACACCUAG
This 280-nucleotide long non-coding RNA is filed under the name Mytilus galloprovincialis (Mediterranean mussel). Lineage: Eukaryota; Metazoa; Mollusca; Bivalvia; Mytilida; Mytilidae. The record is from RNAcentral.